GAUCAUGGCUCAGAUUGAACGCUGGCGGAAUGCUUUACACAUGCAAGUCGAGCGGCAGCGCGGGGGCAACCCUGGCGGCGAGCGGCGAACGGGUGAGUAAUGCAUCGGAACGUACCCGGUCGUGGGGGAUAACGUGGCGAAAGUCACGCUAAUACCGCAUACGUCCUGAGGGAGAAAGCAGGGGAUCGCAAGACCUUGCGCGAUUGGAGCGGCCGAUGUCUGAUUAGCUAGUUGGUGGGGUAAAGGCUCACCAAGCCAACGAUCUGUAGCUGGUCUGAGAGGACGACCAGCCACACUGGAACUGAGACACGGUCCAGACUCCUACGGGAGGCAGCAGUGGGGAAUUUUGGACAAUGGGCGCAAGCCUGAUCCAGCCAUUCCGCGUGCAGGAUGAAGGCCUUCGGGUUGUAAACUGCUUUGUACGGAACGAAACGGCGAGCUCUAAUACAGUUUGCUAAUGACGGUACCGUAAGAAUAAGCACCGGCUAACUACGUG
Molecule: ribosomal RNA, 496 nt
Filed under: uncultured bacterium
Lineage: Bacteria
Description: bacterial SSU rRNA
Rfam family: Bacterial small subunit ribosomal RNA
Source: RNAcentral